UACAGAGGGUGCGAGCGUUGUCCGGAAUCACUGGGCGUAAAGGGCGCGUAGGCGGCUUGAUAAGCGUGCGGUGAAAGCCCGGGGCUCAACCCCGGGUCGGCCGUGCGAACUGUCGAGCUGGAGCACUGUAGAGGCAGGUGGAAUUCCGGGUGUAGCGGUGGAAUGCGUAGAGAUCCGGAAGAACACCGGUGGCGAAGGCGGUCUGCUGGGCAGUUGCUGACGCUGAUGCGCGACAGCGUGGGGAGCAAACAGG
This 253-nucleotide ribosomal RNA is filed under the name uncultured bacterium. RNAcentral's name for it is "partial 16S ribosomal RNA". It matches the Rfam family "Bacterial small subunit ribosomal RNA", at positions 524 to 776 of the family's 1533-position model. The record is from RNAcentral.